RNAcentral lists this unclassified non-coding RNA (348 nucleotides) under soil metagenome. RNAcentral describes it as "partial contains 5.8S ribosomal RNA, internal transcribed spacer 2, and large subunit ribosomal RNA". The stretch from base 1 to 121 matches the Rfam family "5.8S ribosomal RNA", at positions 35 to 154 of the family's 154-position model. The record is from RNAcentral.
GAUGAAGGAACGCAGCGAAAUGCGAUAAGUAAUGUGAAUUGCAGAAUUCAGUGAAUCAUCGAAUCUUUGAACGCACAUUGCGCCCGCCAGUAUUCUGGCGGGCAUGCCUGUCUGAGCGUCAUUUCAACCCUCAUGCCCCUAGGGCGUGGUGUUGGGGAUCGGCCAAAGCCCGCGAGGGACGGCCGGCCCCUAAAUCUAGUGGCGGACCCGUCGUGGCCUCCUCUGCGAAGUAGUGAUAUUCCGCAUCGGAGAGCGAUGAGCCCCUGCCGUUAAACCCCCAACUUUCCAAGGUUGACCUCAGAUCAGGUAGGAAUACCCGCUGAACUUAAGCAUAUAAUAAGCGGAGGA